Molecule: ribosomal RNA, 253 nt
Filed under: uncultured bacterium
Lineage: Bacteria
Description: partial 16S ribosomal RNA
Rfam family: Bacterial small subunit ribosomal RNA
Source: RNAcentral
UACGUAGGGGGCAAGCGUUGUCCGGAUUCAUUGGGCGUAAAGAGCGUGUAGGCGGCCAGGUAGGUCGGUUGUGAAAACUGGAGGCUCAACCUUCAGAGGUCGACCGAAACCAUCUGGCUAGAGUCCGGGAGAGGAGAGUGGAAUGCCUGGUGUAGCGGUGAAAUGCGCAGAUAUCAGGAAGAACACCCGUGGCGAAAGCGGCGCUCUGGAACGGUACUGACGCUGAGACGCGAAAGCGUGGGGAGCGAACAGG